RNAcentral lists this long non-coding RNA (2016 nucleotides) under Mus musculus (house mouse). RNAcentral describes it as "predicted gene 45352". Lineage: Eukaryota; Metazoa; Chordata; Mammalia; Rodentia; Muridae. The record is from RNAcentral.
AUUCUAACCCUGCUAAAAGGCAAAGGAUGGUUUAGUGUUUGUAGACCAAAUAUAAGGAACAACAUGUAUCCAGUGAGAUUUCAAUUAUGUAGGCAAGCCAAGUGCCUGGAAAUUUUGGAUCUCGUCUGAGUUUCUUUCUUCCACGAAUUUCCAACCAACUAUUGACCCUUUUGGGAAUCACCUGCCCACUGUGAAUGACAAAGCUGGAAGAGGGUCUAUUCUCCAUGAAGCUAUUCAAGGACCAAGAGGAAUUGUGUCUGGUGGAGAGAAGGUACUGUUUGUACUCACUUCCACCAGAGACUUUUUGAUGACUCGGCUGAUGUCCCUCCUCCACUCCGGGAUGUCAGGGUUGUAGUCAUCCAAGUUCGGAGAAAAGGCCAAGCGAAGAGACCGAAAUUCCUCUGUGGAUGUAGCAGAGAUGAAUUCGACACACUGGCCACUUUAUAAAAGCAGACCUGAGCCUGGAGCCUAUGAAGAGAAACAAGACAAGCUAGCUGUCCUUCUUCUCAGUCUGCUUGGUGCCCUUGGGCUACUCUAGAAAACUUGCAGCUGUUGACUUGAUCUCCAUCCCUUUAAGCCCGGACAACUUAAAAAUGUGAUUGCCAAGGAUAGUAGAUCUGUUUUCAGGAUUUAAUAAGGCAGUUCAUAGAUAUCAAGUGCUUGGGACAGCUGCCGGUGAUUAAAAUGGUCUUCAUUAAUGUUAGCCUGUGUCACUGUCACCGUUGUUAUUAAUGGAACUGUCACAAAGCAGCAGAAUGAUUUUUAAAACCAGUCAUUUCCCAUGUGUGUCCACAAUUUCCUUGCAGUAAACGAGGGUUCGGAUAAGAAUAACACAGAGACCUCUUAGAUUUACGAUAUUCUCUGUGAUUCACAGAAGAAGGCCAUAUACACAUCUGACCAAAGGGACAUGGUUCAGCGCCCACUAUGGUAACUUGUGACAUUCACACCGAAUCAUCCAGAAGAAAGAAAUAAUCUACGGGCAAUGACAUGAGUCUAGUAAUUUAGGGUAUUGUGUUUUGGAUGUGUAAUGUCUCACAAAUUUUCAUAGUUUUCAACACUUGUUAGCACUGUUUGUAGAGGCCAUGAAGCAUUGAGGAGGAAGAAACUUGCUGAAGGAGAUAUGUUAUUGCACUUGGGUUUGGAGUGUUAGAGCCUGGCCUUACUUCCUGUGCUCUCUGCCCUGCUUUUUGUAUAUGGGUGUGAGAUUAUCAGGCACCUUCCCCACCACUGCCGUAUCUUACCUGCCAUGCACUCUAUGCCUCUGGAAACAUGAACCAAAAGAAACCUGUUUUUGUCCGAGUAUUGGCCACAGAAACAGAAAGAAAAAAGUAAUAUGGAAGGUAGUAUCAGACAAGGGUCCCAGGGCCACAUGGAGCUGGCUUUGAAGCCAUUAAUUGCUGGGUACAGUGAGAGUCUGCAUGCUCACUUUCUGUUUGUUAGGGUUUUACUGAAGAUUAAGCACAAUGCCAGCAGAAACAAGAGAAGUAAAGAAGCUGAAUCAACGGCCUUCUCCACCAGGCAUGUCAGGCUGUAGCCUUCUGGGUGGGGGCCUUUCACAUCCCGGCUGACUUCUGCUUGCUGUCUGAGCUGACCAAACCUCUUCAGACUGGAGGGAGAGGUAAAACGAACGGAUGCAAUGCUGUUUCUAGAACAGUAGCCUUAGGCCUUUUUGUCUUCAGUCAUGUUCAAAGUUGCUCACAAAUUGUUCUUCAGUUUUGAAGGUCAAGUUGGCCCAAGAAAGAGUUGAAAGAAAAGAGCCUCAUGUUCCAAAGGACAAUCUAGACCUUCAUUAUAUUAUUGGAAUCAAUUGAUUUCAGAACUGGGUUAAAUUGAUAUUUUAAAACAAGGAAUCUAAUUUUUUCUCUCUCUCCCCCCUUUCUUCCAGGCACCACAUUCUUUCUCCUUCUGUAGCUCAUACAUUCUCUAUCUAGUUUUCAAAUCUUAUUUUUGAAAUUGUAAUUUCCCAUGAUGCCUAUGUACCAAUUCCAUAUUGAAAAUAAACAUUUCUGUCUUUGC